This 234-nucleotide ribosomal RNA is filed under the name uncultured bacterium. Its description in RNAcentral is "partial 16S ribosomal RNA". It matches the Rfam family "Bacterial small subunit ribosomal RNA", at positions 15 to 237 of the family's 1533-position model. The record is from RNAcentral.
GAUCAUGGCUCAGGAUGAACGCUAGCUACAGGCUUAACACAUGCAAGUCGAGGGGCAGCAUGGUCUUAGCUUGCUAAGGCCGAUGGCGACCGGCGCACGGGUGAGUAACGCGUAUCCAACCUGCCUUACACUCUUGGACAGCCUUCUGAAAGGGAAGGAUUAAUACAAGAUAUUAUCAUGAGUAAGCAUUUUCGUCAUGAUUAAAGGUUUACCGGUGUAAGAUGGGGAUGCGUU